UCGGACCCGGGGGCAGUACCCGGCGCCUCCACCAAUCACCUCCGCCUCGCGGCGGAGUCGACGGGGGCGAACCAGGAUCGACGAGCGUGGUAAAGGCGCGGUUUUUGCCCGGUAUGGUUCCGCCGUGACGGGCCAUUCACAAGUGCCAACGAUAACGACGUUGCACUCGCUGCUGCCGCCUAAACAGCGGACGUAAGCGCGGUUCGGGAGGGCACCGGGCAACAGAAGCCCUCCCACU
This 238-nucleotide transfer-messenger RNA is filed under the name Alphaproteobacteria bacterium. RNAcentral describes it as "partial transfer-messenger RNA". It matches the Rfam family "Alphaproteobacteria transfer-messenger RNA", at positions 86 to 355 of the family's 355-position model. Rfam says of the family: Bacterial tmRNA, also known as 10Sa RNA or SsrA, is named for its dual tRNA and mRNA-like properties. Its role is to liberate the mRNA from a stalled ribosome. Lineage: Bacteria; Pseudomonadati; Pseudomonadota; Alphaproteobacteria. The record is from RNAcentral.